AUGAACGUUGGCGGCGUGGAUUAGGCAUGCAAGUCGAGCGAGAACCCCGCAAGGGGGGACAGCGGCGAAAGGGACAGUAAUGUGUAGAUUAUCUGCCCUCAGGUCCGGGAUAGCUGCGGGAAACUGCAGGUAAUACCGGAUAACAUCUCCGGAUCAAAGGUGUGAUUCCGCCUGAGGAUGAGUCUGCAUCCUAUUAGCUAGUUGGUGGGGUAAUGGCCUACCAAGGCAUUGAUGGGUAGCAGGUGUGAGAGCACGACCUGCGUCAUUGGGACUGAGACACUGCCCAGACACCUACGGGUGGCUGCAGUCGAGAAUCUUCGGCAAUGGGCGCAAGCCUGACCGAGCGACGCCGCGUGUGGGAUGAAGGCCUGCGGGUUGUAAACCACUGUCAGAGGGGAUGAAAUGCAGGUGGGUUCUCCCAUCUGUUUGACAUAGCCUCAGAGGAAGGACGGGCUAAGUUCGUG
RNAcentral lists this ribosomal RNA (464 nucleotides) under uncultured bacterium. RNAcentral's name for it is "partial 16S ribosomal RNA". It matches the Rfam family "Bacterial small subunit ribosomal RNA", at positions 29 to 507 of the family's 1533-position model. The record is from RNAcentral.